AGAUUGAACGCUGGCGGCAGGCCUAACACAUGCAAGUCGAGCGGUGAGAGGUGCUUGCAUCUCUUGAGAGCGGCGGACGGGUGAGUAAUGCCUAGGAAUCUGCCUAGUGGUGGGGGAUAACGUUCGGAAACGGACGCUAAUACCGCAUACGUCCUACGGGAGAAAGCGGGGGACCUUCGGGCCUCGCGCCAUUAGA
RNAcentral lists this ribosomal RNA (196 nucleotides) under uncultured soil bacterium. RNAcentral describes it as "partial 16S ribosomal RNA". It matches the Rfam family "Bacterial small subunit ribosomal RNA", at positions 26 to 225 of the family's 1533-position model. The record is from RNAcentral.